Molecule: long non-coding RNA, 217 nt
Filed under: Lathyrus oleraceus (garden pea)
Lineage: Eukaryota; Viridiplantae; Streptophyta; Magnoliopsida; Fabales; Fabaceae
Description: Pisum sativum (pea) long non-coding RNA (PSAT_LNC029333)
Source: RNAcentral
AGAAAGAAGGAACAGCAAACCCUGGAGGCUAACCCAGAGAAUUCAGAGCAACCCUAAAGGAAACCCUGAAGGAAACUCAUUUGCACAAAGGUUACCUCCGCCCAACUCAAUCCGGCACCAACCCUAAGAGUGAUCUGCCAAUUCAAUAUUGCAAUUCAAUUGCCAACAGGUUUGCACUACCACUACCGCUUUAUGCUUCCAAUUUACAUGUGGUAUU